RNAcentral lists this ribosomal RNA (353 nucleotides) under uncultured bacterium. RNAcentral's name for it is "bacterial SSU rRNA". It matches the Rfam family "Bacterial small subunit ribosomal RNA", at positions 335 to 678 of the family's 1533-position model. The record is from RNAcentral.
ACUCCUACGGGAGGCAGCAGUGGGGAAUAUUGGACAAUGGGGGCAACCCUGAUCCAGCAAUGCCGCGUGUGUGAAGAAGGGCCUGCGGGUUGUAAAGCACUUUCAGUGGGGAGGAAGACCUCGUUGUUAAUACCAACGAGCGAUGACGUUACCCACAGAAGAAGCACCGGCUAACUCUGUGCCAGCAGCCGCGGUAAUACAGAGGGUGCAAGCGUUAAUCGGAAUUACUGGGCGUAAAGCGUGCGCAGGCGGUCUGUUAAGCGAGAUGUGAAAGCCCCGGGCUCAAGCCUGGGAACUGCAUUUCGAACUGGCAGACUAGAGUCUUGUAGAGGGGGGUAAAUUCCAGGUGGUAG